This 256-nucleotide unclassified non-coding RNA is filed under the name uncultured fungus. RNAcentral's name for it is "partial contains 18S rRNA, ITS1, 5.8S rRNA". Lineage: Eukaryota; Fungi. The record is from RNAcentral.
GUUCGAUGAAGAACGCAGCUAACAAGGUUUCCGUAGGUGAACCUGCGGAGGGAUCAUUACACAAAUAUGAAGGCGGGCUGGAACCUCUCGGGGUUACAGCCUUGCUGAAUUAUUCACCCUUGUCUUUUGCGUACUUCUUGUUUCCUUGGUGGGUUCGCCCACCACUAGGACAAACAUAAACCUUUUGUAAUUGCAAUCAGCGUCAGUAACAAAUUAAUAAUUACAACUUUCAACAACGGAUCUCUUGGUUCUGGCA